GACGAACCGAGCGAACGUUGUUCGGAAUCACUGGGCUUAAAGGGCGCGUAGGCGGGUGCUCAAGUCUGUGGUGAAAUCCUCCAGCUUAACUGGAGAACUGCCAUGGAUACUGGGUGUCUCGAGGAAGAUAGGGGUAUGCGGAACGAUUGGUGGAGCGGUGAAAUGCGUUGAUAUCAAUCGGAACUCCGGUGGCGAAGGCGGCAUACUGGAUCUUAUCUGACGCUGAGGCGCGAAAGCGUGGGGAGCAAACGGG
This 253-nucleotide ribosomal RNA is filed under the name uncultured bacterium. Its description in RNAcentral is "partial 16S ribosomal RNA". It matches the Rfam family "Bacterial small subunit ribosomal RNA", at positions 524 to 776 of the family's 1533-position model. The record is from RNAcentral.